GACGAACGCUGGCGGCGUGCCUAAUACAUGCAAGUCGAGCGAAGUUUUUCUGGUGCUUGCACCGGAAAAACUUAGCGGCGAACGGGUGAGUAACACGUAAAGAACCUGCCUCAUAGACUGGGACAACUAUUGGAAACGAUAGCUAAUACCGGAUAACAGCAUUAACUGCAUGGUUGAUGUUUAAAAGUUGGUUUUGCUAACACUAUGAGAUGGCUUUGCGGUGCAUUAGCUAGUUGGUGGGGUAAAGGCCUACCAAGGCGACGAUGCAUAGCCGACCUGAGAGGGUGAUCGGCCACACUGGGACUGAGACACGGCCCAGACUCCUACGGGAGGCAGCAGUAGGGAAUCUUCCGCAAUGGGCGAAAGCCUGACGGAGCAACGCCGCGUGAGUGAAGAAGGAUUUCGGUUCGUAAAGCUCUGUUGUUAGUGAAGAAUGAUUGUGUAGUAACUAUACACAGUAGAGACGGUACCUAACCAGAAAGCCACGGCUAACUACGUG
RNAcentral lists this ribosomal RNA (499 nucleotides) under uncultured bacterium. RNAcentral's name for it is "partial 16S ribosomal RNA". It matches the Rfam family "Bacterial small subunit ribosomal RNA", at positions 28 to 507 of the family's 1533-position model. The record is from RNAcentral.